This 433-nucleotide ribosomal RNA is filed under the name uncultured bacterium. RNAcentral describes it as "partial 16S ribosomal RNA". It matches the Rfam family "Bacterial small subunit ribosomal RNA", at positions 29 to 507 of the family's 1533-position model. The record is from RNAcentral.
AACGAACGCUGGCGGCAGGCCUAACACAUGCAAGUCGAGCGAGGACUUCGGUUCUAGCGGCGGACGGGUGAGUAACGCGUGGGAAUGUGCCCUUCUCUACGGAAUAGCCCUGGGAAACUGGGAGUAAUACCGUAUACGCCCUAUUGGGGAAAGAUUUAUCGGAGAAGGAUCAGCCCGCGUUGGAUUAGGUAGUUGGUGGGGUAAUGGCCUACCAAGCCGACGAUCCAUAGCUGGUUUGAGAGGAUGAUCAGCCACACUGGGACUGAGACACGGCCCAGACUCCUACGGGAGGCAGCAGUGUGGAAUCUUAGACAAUGGGGGCAACCCUGAUCUAGCCAUGCCGCGUGAGUGAUGAAGGCCUUAGGGUUGUAAAGCUCUUUCAGCUGGGAAGAUAAUGACGGUACCAGCAGAAGAAGCCCCGGCUAACUCCGUG